RNAcentral lists this ribosomal RNA (585 nucleotides) under Pseudomonas sp. StFLB133. RNAcentral describes it as "bacterial SSU rRNA". It matches the Rfam family "Bacterial small subunit ribosomal RNA", at positions 102 to 683 of the family's 1533-position model. Lineage: Bacteria; Pseudomonadati; Pseudomonadota; Gammaproteobacteria; Pseudomonadales; Pseudomonadaceae. The record is from RNAcentral.
ACGGGUGAGUAAUGCCUAGGAAUCUGCCUGGUAGUGGGGGGCAACGUUUCGAAAGGAACGCUAAUACCGCAUACGUCCUACGGGAGAAAGCAGGGGACCUUCGGGCCUUGCGCUAUCAGAUGAGCCUAGGUCGGAUUAGCUAGUUGGUGAGGUAAUGGCUCACCAAGGCGACGAUCCGUAACUGGUCUGAGAGGAUGAUCAGUCACACUGGAACUGAGACACGGUCCAGACUCCUACGGGAGGCAGCAGUGGGGAAUAUUGGACAAUGGGCGAAAGCCUGAUCCAGCCAUGCCGCGUGUGUGAAGAAGGUCUUCGGAUUGUAAAGCACUUUAAGUUGGGAGGAAGGGCAGUAAAUUAAUACUUUGCUGUUUUGACGUUACCGACAGAAUAAGCACCGGCUAACUCUGUGCCAGCAGCCGCGGUAAUACAGAGGGUGCAAGCGUUAAUCGGAAUUACUGGGCGUAAAGCGCGCGUAGGUGGUUUGUUAAGUUGGAUGUGAAAUCCCCGGGCUCAACCUGGGAACUGCAUCCAAAACUGGCAAGCUAGAGUAUGGUAGAGGGUGGUGGAAUUUCCUGUGUAGCGGUG